RNAcentral lists this ribosomal RNA (465 nucleotides) under uncultured bacterium. RNAcentral's name for it is "partial 16S ribosomal RNA". It matches the Rfam family "Bacterial small subunit ribosomal RNA", at positions 28 to 507 of the family's 1533-position model. The record is from RNAcentral.
GACGAACGCUGGCGGCGUGCUUAACACAUGCAAGUCGUACGGUAAGGCCCUUUCGGGGGUACACGAGUGGCGAACGGGUGAGUAACACGUGAGUAACCUGCCCACAACUUUGGGAUAACGCUAGGAAACUGGUGCUAAUACUGGAUAUGUGCUCCUGCUGCAUGGUGGGGGUUGGAAAGCUCCGGCGGUUGUGGAUGGACUCGCGGCCUAUCAGCUUGUUGGUGGGGUAGUGGCCUACCAAGGCGGCGACGGGUAGCCGGCCUGAGAGGGUGACCGGCCACAGUGGGACUGAGAUACGGCCCAGACUCCGACGGGAGGCAGCAGUGGGGAAUAUUGCACAAUGGGCGCAAGCCUGAUGCAGCAACGCCGCGUGCGGGAUGACGGCCUUCGGGUUGUAAACCGCUUUCAGCAGGGACGAAGCUUUUUGUGACGGUACCUGCAGAAGAAGCACCGGCUAACUACGUG